This 492-nucleotide ribosomal RNA is filed under the name uncultured bacterium. Its description in RNAcentral is "partial 16S ribosomal RNA". It matches the Rfam family "Bacterial small subunit ribosomal RNA", at positions 29 to 507 of the family's 1533-position model. The record is from RNAcentral.
AGUGAACGCUGGCGGUAGGCCUAACACAUGCAAGUCGAACGGCAGCACAGUAAGAGCUUGCUCUUACGGGUGGCGAGUGGCGGACGGGUGAGGAAUACAUCGGAAUCUACUUUUUCGUGGGGGAUAACGUAGGGAAACUUACGCUAAUACCGCAUACGACCUACGGCUGAAAGCAGGAGAUCUUCGGACCUUGCGCGAUUGAAUGAGCCGAUGUCGGAUUAGCUAGUUGGCGGGGUAAAGGCCCACCAAGGCGACGAUCCGUAGCUGGUCUGAGAGGAUGAUCAGCCACACUGGAACUGAGACACGGUCCAGACUCCUACGGGAGGCAGCAGUGGGGAAUAUUGGGCAAUGGGCGCAAGCCUGAUCCAGCCAUACCGCGUGGGUGAAGAAGGCCUUCGGGUUGUAAAGCCCUUUUGUUGGGAAAGAAAAGCAGCAGGUUAAUACCCCGCUGUUCUGACGGUACCCAAAGAAUAAGCACCGGCUAACUUCGUG